UAGGUAAAUCUGCUUACCGAUCAGUAUAAAAAACAGCUGAACAUUCUAAUUUUAAUCUGAUUUUUCCAAAGCAAUGAGUCACAUUUUGAUCCUAAUCGGCAUUUUUUUCACAUCUGGUGAACUGGAAGGUACUCUCCUCCAAAAUGUGGCAAUAAAUGGGAUGGCUACCCAGUCUUCACUGAACAGCAGCUUUGGUGCUCCUCAAAAGGCAAUCG
This is a long non-coding RNA of Sphaeramia orbicularis (orbiculate cardinalfish), 215 nucleotides long. RefSeq lists it as uncharacterized. Lineage: Eukaryota; Metazoa; Chordata; Actinopteri; Kurtiformes; Apogonidae. The record is from RefSeq and is a predicted model, not a curated record. The transcript is spliced from 3 exons.